RNAcentral lists this transfer RNA (67 nucleotides) under Trisidos kiyonoi. RNAcentral describes it as "tRNA-Gln". The record is from RNAcentral. Lineage: Eukaryota; Metazoa; Mollusca; Bivalvia; Arcoida; Arcidae.
UGUAUUGGAGUAUGGUUUGUACGCGGAAUUUUGAAUUCCGAGGAGUGGUGAAAAGCCGUCAAUGUAG